RNAcentral lists this long non-coding RNA (692 nucleotides) under Coturnix japonica (Japanese quail). RNAcentral's name for it is "lncRNA (ENSCJPG00005002118.1)". The record is from RNAcentral. Lineage: Eukaryota; Metazoa; Chordata; Aves; Galliformes; Phasianidae.
CGGGUCACACAUGGCAUUGGUAGGACCCAAAAAUGGCGUUUUUUACCCCAAAAAUGGCCUUUUUGACCCCAAAAUCAGGCAUUUUGGACCCAAAAACCCUCAAUUUGACCCCAAAAUGGCCAUUUUCGGCCCAAAAUGGGCUUUUUUGACCCCAAAAACUCCCAAUUUUGACCCCCAAAUGGUCAUUUUUGGCCCCGAAAUGGGCCUAUUUGGCCCCAAUAUCCCCCAAGUUGGCCCCAAAAUGGUCAUUUCUGACCCCAAAAUGGGCCUUUUUGGCCCCAAAAUGGCACUUCCUGACCCCAAAAUGGGCGUUUUUAGCCCCAAAAUGGGCCUUUUUGGCCACAAAAAACCUCCAAUUUCGACCCCAAAAUGGUCAUUUUUGACCCCAAAAUGGGCCUUUUUAGAUCCAAAAUAGUCAUUUUUGGACCCCAAAUGGGCAUUUCUAACCCCAAGAUGGGUCUUUCUAACCCCAAAAUGCCCCUUUCUGACCCCAAAUUGGCCUUUUUUAACCCCAAAAUGGUCAUUUCUGACCCCAAAUUCCCUCUUUCUGACCCCAAAAUGGUCAUUUUUGGCCCCAAAUUCCCUCUUUCUGUCCCCAAAAUGGGCUUUUUUGGACCCAAAAUGGCCCUUUCUGACCCCAAAAUGAUGGGGCUGCUCAGCAGGACGGAGCCCAUCCGGGUCACACAUGGCAU